Molecule: non-coding RNA, 107 nt
Organism: Coniochaeta pulveracea
Lineage: Eukaryota; Fungi; Ascomycota; Sordariomycetes; Coniochaetales; Coniochaetaceae
Source: the annotation of a GenBank genome assembly
GCCCCGUUGGUAUAGUGGUAGCACUCCUGCCCCUCGAAGAUGUGGUCGUAGGUCGCAUGAAGCAAUCACCAGUGCAGGCAUCCUCGGUUCGAAUCCGAGACGGGGCA